This 486-nucleotide ribosomal RNA is filed under the name Pantoea agglomerans. RNAcentral describes it as "bacterial SSU rRNA". The record is from RNAcentral. Lineage: Bacteria; Pseudomonadati; Pseudomonadota; Gammaproteobacteria; Enterobacterales; Erwiniaceae.
UUGAACGCUGGCGGCAGGCCUAACACAUGCAAGUCGGACGGUAGCACAGGGGAGCUUGCUCCYYGGGUGACGAGUGGCGGACGGGUGAGUAAUGUCUGGGAAACUGCCCGGUGGAGGGGGAUAACUACUGGAAACGGUAGCUAAUACCGCAUAACGUCUUCGGACCAAAGUGGGGGAYCUUMGGRCCUCACGCCACCGGAUGUGCCCAGAUGGGAUUAGCUAGUAGGUGGGGUAACGGCUCACCUAGGCGACGAUCCCUAGCUGGUCUGAGAGGAUGACCAGCCACACUGGAACUGAGACACGGUCCAGACUCCUACGGGAGGCAGCAGUGGGGAAUAUUGCACAAUGGGCGCAAGCCUGAUGCAGCCAUGCCGCGUGUAUGAAGAAGGCCUUCGGGUUGUAAAGUACUUUCAGCGGGGAGGAAGGCGGUGAGGUUAAUAACCUCGCCGAUUGACGUUACCCGCAGAAGAAGCACCGGCUAACUCC